GACGUAGGGCGCGAGCGUUGUCCGGAUUUAUUGGGCGUAAAGAGCUCGUAGGCGGCUUGUCGCGUCGACUGUGAAAACCCGAGGCUCAACUUCGGGCUUGCAGUCGAUACGGGCAGGCUAGAGUUCGGUAGGGGAGACUGGAAUUCCUGGUGUAGCGGUGAAAUGCGUAGAUAUCGUAAGGAAGACCAGUGGCGAAGGCGGGUCUCUGGACAGUUCCUGACGCUGAGGCGCGAAAGCGUGGGGAGCGAACAGG
RNAcentral lists this ribosomal RNA (253 nucleotides) under uncultured bacterium. RNAcentral's name for it is "partial 16S ribosomal RNA". It matches the Rfam family "Bacterial small subunit ribosomal RNA", at positions 524 to 776 of the family's 1533-position model. The record is from RNAcentral.